Molecule: ribosomal RNA, 406 nt
Filed under: uncultured bacterium
Lineage: Bacteria
Description: partial 16S ribosomal RNA
Rfam family: Bacterial small subunit ribosomal RNA
Source: RNAcentral
AUUGAACGCUGGCGGCAGGCCUAACACAUGCAAGUCGAGCGAGCGGCGGACGGGUGAGUAAUGUCUGGGAAACUGCCUGAUGGAGGGGGAUAACUACUGGAAACGGUAGCUCAUACCGCAUACCAUCAGAUGGGCCCAGAUGGGAUUAGCUAGUAGGUGGGGUAAUGGCUCACCUAGGCGACGAUCCCUAGCUGGUCUGAGAGGAUGACCAGCCACAUGGGAACUGAGACACGGUCCAGACUCCUACGGUAGGCAGCAGUGGGGAAGAUUGGACAAUGGGCGAAAGCCUGAUCCAGCAAUGCCGCGUGUGUGAAGAAGGUCUUCGGAUUGUAAAGCACUUUAAGUUGGGCGGCGUUACCAACAGAAUAAGCACCGGCUAACUUCGUGCCAGCAGCCGCGGUAAUUC